GACGAACGCUGGCGGCGUGCCUAAUACAUGCAAGUAGAACGCUGAAGGAAGGAGCUUGCUCUUUCUGGAUGAGUUGCGAACGGGUGAGUAACGCGUAGGUAACCUGCCUGGUAGCGGGGGAUAACUAUUGGAAACGAUAGCUAAUACCGCAUAAAAUUGAUUAUUGCAUGAUAGUCAAUUAAAAGGUGCAACUGCACCACUACCAGAUGGACCUGCGUUGUAUUAGCUAGUUGGUGGGGUAACGGCUCACCAAGGCGACGAUACAUAGCCGACCUGAGAGGGUGAUCGGCCACACUGGGACUGAGACACGGCCCAGACUCCUACGGGAGGCAGCAGUAGGGAAUCUUCGGCAAUGGACGGAAGUCUGACCGAGCAACGCCGCGGGAGUGAAGAAGGGUUUCGGAUCGUAAAGCUCGGUUGUAAGAGAAGAACGAGUGUGAGAGUGGAAAGUUCACACUGUGACGGUAUCUUACCAGAAAGGGACGGCUAACUACGUG
This 497-nucleotide ribosomal RNA is filed under the name uncultured bacterium. RNAcentral's name for it is "partial 16S ribosomal RNA". It matches the Rfam family "Bacterial small subunit ribosomal RNA", at positions 28 to 507 of the family's 1533-position model. The record is from RNAcentral.